UUGGUAACGGCCACAGGCUUGUAAUAAUAACCCUAUGGCUUCUUUUCUUUGUAAAGAAUCUAGAGUUUCAUGGUGGGGGUUUUGUUGUUGUAAAAGUGUUAAAGCUUGAGGAAGGCUCUGUUUCGAUUGGCAAAGACUGGUUAAUUGUUGGAGGAGAGGGAGAUGGUACUUAGUUGAAGUGUUGGUUUGAGGGAGUGAGGUUGUUUGAGAAAUGGAUGAGUUCAGACGUUGAUAGGUUGUUCUUAUAGUGAUGAGUGGCGACUGGCGGUGGUGGGAAGGUGAUGGCGGGUGUGCCACCAGAG
This 302-nucleotide long non-coding RNA is filed under the name Gossypium barbadense (sea-island cotton). Its description in RNAcentral is "long non-coding RNA (GBAR_LNC004801)". The record is from RNAcentral. Lineage: Eukaryota; Viridiplantae; Streptophyta; Magnoliopsida; Malvales; Malvaceae.